This 201-nucleotide non-coding RNA is filed under the name Alistipes sp. CHKCI003. RNAcentral also lists the same sequence under 1 other name. Lineage: Bacteria; Pseudomonadati; Bacteroidota; Bacteroidia; Bacteroidales; Rikenellaceae. The record is from RNAcentral.
ACUUUUGUUUCCGGACACGGUUCCCGCGCUUCGCCGAGGCGGAGCGGGGAUUAAAAGGGAAUCCUGUGCAAAUCAGGAACUAUCCCCGUAGCUGUAAGUUUCAACGAAAGCCGCGCACUCUCUUGUGCCACUGUCGCCCUCAGACGGGAAGGCGUGCCGGCCGAAACGAGUCAGAAGACCUGCCGCAGUCCGCGCAUUCGG